UACGGAGGGUGCGAGCGUUGUUCGGAAUCACUGGGCGUAAAGCGCGUGUAGGCGGCUUCUUAAGUCCGAUGUGAAAGCCCGGGGCUCACCCCCGGAAGUGCAUUGGAUACUGGGAAGCUGGAGUACCGGAGAGGAGGGUGGAAUUCCUGGUGUAGCGGUGAAAUGCGUAGAUAUCAGGAGGAACACCUGUGGCGAAGGCGGCCCUCUGGACGGAUACUGACGCUGAGGCACGAAAGCUAGGGGAGCAAACAGG
Molecule: ribosomal RNA, 253 nt
Filed under: uncultured bacterium
Lineage: Bacteria
Description: partial 16S ribosomal RNA
Rfam family: Bacterial small subunit ribosomal RNA
Source: RNAcentral